This 253-nucleotide ribosomal RNA is filed under the name uncultured bacterium. Its description in RNAcentral is "partial 16S ribosomal RNA". It matches the Rfam family "Bacterial small subunit ribosomal RNA", at positions 524 to 776 of the family's 1533-position model. The record is from RNAcentral.
UACGGGGGGGGCAAGCGUUGUUCGGAAUUACUGGGCGUAAAGGGCUCGUAGGCGGCCAACUAAGUCGGAUGUGAAAUCCCCAGGCUUAACCUGGGAACUGCAUCCGAUACUGGAUGGCUUGAAUCCGGGAGAGGGAUGCAGAAUUCCAGGUGUAGCGGUGAAAUGCGUAGAUAUCUGGAGGAAUACCGGUGGCGAAGGCGGCAUCCUGGACCGGCAUUGACACUGAUGAGCGAAAGCUAGGGGAGCAAACGGG